UGAAAGGCGAUGAAGAGAAGAGUAUAUGUACUUAAGCAUACAGAGAACUCCGGUAGCUGGGAUGGGGGAUGUAGGAGUGCAUGGAAACAAGUCUUGGAGCUGCACAUAGGAUAUUGCUUUUCUGAGAUUGAUGAUGUGUCGGGGUCUCCCGUUAUAGAGAUAGAGUAUAUUCUAUACAGAAGUACUCGAAAAGGUUUUUGUGGCAACACAAGAACAAACUGGGGUGGCACCACGAACUUCUAAAUUCUAGGAGUCUCGUCCUCAAG
RNAcentral lists this non-coding RNA (266 nucleotides) under Virgibacillus sp. Its description in RNAcentral is "T-box sequence". It matches the Rfam family "T-box leader". Rfam says of the family: Uncharged tRNA acts as the effector for transcription antitermination of genes in the T-box leader family. Lineage: Bacteria; Bacillati; Bacillota; Bacilli; Caryophanales; Bacillaceae. The record is from RNAcentral.